Molecule: small nuclear RNA, 21 nt
Filed under: Arabidopsis thaliana (thale cress)
Lineage: Eukaryota; Viridiplantae; Streptophyta; Magnoliopsida; Brassicales; Brassicaceae
Description: snRNA_02390
Source: RNAcentral
CGUCUGACUUGGGUAUAGGGG